GGUUAAGCGACUAAGCGUACACGGUGGAUGCCCUGGCAGUCAGAGGCGAUGAAGGACGUGCUAAUCUGCGAUAAGCGUCGGUAAGGUGAUAUGAACCGUUAUAACCGGCGAUUUCCGAAUGGGGAAACCCAGUGUGUUUCGACACACUAUCAUUAACUGAAUCCAUAGGUUAAUGAGGCGAACCGGGGGAACUGAAACAUCUAAGUACCCCGAGGAAAAGAAAUCAACCGAGAUUCCCCCAGUAGCGGCGAGCGAACGGGGAGCAGCCCAGAGCCUGAAUCAGUGUGUGUGUUAGUGGAAGCGUCUGGAAAGGCGCGCGAUACAGGGUGACAGCCCCGUACACAAAAAUGCACAUGCUGUGAGCUCGAUGAGUAGGGCGGGACACGUGGUAUCCUGUCUGAAUAUGGGGGGACCAUCCUCCAAGGCUAAAUACUCCUGACUGACCGAUAGUGAACCAGUACCGUGAGGGAAAGGCGAAAAGAACCCCGGCGAGGGGAGUGAAAAAGAACCUGAAACCGUGUACGUACAAGCAGUGGGAGCACGCUUAGGCGUGUGACUGCGUACCUUUUGUAUAAUGGGUCAGCGACUUAUAUUCUGUAGCAAGGUUAACCGAAUAGGGGAGCCGAAGGGAAACCGAGUCUUAACUGGGCGUUAAGUUGCAGGGUAUAGACCCGAAACCCGGUGAUCUAGCCAUGGGCAGGUUGAAGGUUGGGUAACACUAACUGGAGGACCGAACCGACUAAUGUUGAAAAAUUAGCGGAUGACUUGUGGCUGGGGGUGAAAGGCCAAUCAAACCGGGAGAUAGCUGGUUCUCCCCGAAAGCUAUUUAGGUAGCGCCUCGUGAAUUCAUCUCCGGGGGUAGAGCACUGUUUCGGCAAGGGGGUCAUCCCGACUUACCAACCCGAUGCAAACUGCGAAUACCGGAGAAUGUUAUCACGGGAGACACACGGCGGGUGCUAACGUCCGUCGUGAAGAGGGAAACAACCCAGACCGCCAGCUAAGGUCCCAAAGUCAUGGUUAAGUGGGAAACGAUGUGGGAAGGCCCAGACAGCCAGGAUGUUGGCUUAGAAGCAGCCAUCAUUUAAAGAAAGCGUAAUAGCUCACUGGUCGAGUCGGCCUGCGCGGAAGAUGUAACGGGGCUAAACCAUGCACCGAAGCUGCGGCAGCGACGCUUAUGCGUUGUUGGGUAGGGGAGCGUUCUGUAAGCCUGCGAAGGUGUGCUGUGAGGCAUGCUGGAGGUAUCAGAAGUGCGAAUGCUGACAUAAGUAACGAUAAAGCGGGUGAAAAGCCCGCUCGCCGGAAGACCAAGGGUUCCUGUCCAACGUUAAUCGGGGCAGGGUGAGUCGACCCCUAAGGCGAGGCCGAAAGGCGUAGUCGAUGGGAAACAGGUUAAUAUUCCUGUACUUGGUGUUACUGCGAAGGGGGGACGGAGAAGGCUAUGUUGGCCGGGCGACGGUUGUCCCGGUUUAAGCGUGUAGGCUGGUUUUCCAGGCAAAUCCGGAAAAUCAAGGCUGAGGCGUGAUGACGAGGCACUACGGUGCUGAAGCAACAAAUGCCCUGCUUCCAGGAAAAGCCUCUAAGCAUCAGGUAACAUCAAAUCGUACCCCAAACCGACACAGGUGGUCAGGUAGAGAAUACCAAGGCGCUUGAGAGAACUCGGGUGAAGGAACUAGGCAAAAUGGUGCCGUAACUUCGGGAGAAGGCACGCUGAUAUGUAGGUGAGGUCCCUCGCGGAUGGAGCUGAAAUCAGUCGAAGAUACCAGCUGGCUGCAACUGUUUAUUAAAAACACAGCACUGUGCAAACACGAAAGUGGACGUAUACGGUGUGACGCCUGCCCGGUGCCGGAAGGUUAAUUGAUGGGGUUAGCCGCAAGGCGAAGCUCUUGAUCGAAGCCCCGGUAAACGGCGGCCGUAACUAUAACGGUCCUAAGGUAGCGAAAUUCCUUGUCGGGUAAGUUCCGACCUGCACGAAUGGCGUAAUGAUGGCCAGGCUGUCUCCACCCGAGACUCAGUGAAAUUGAACUCGCUGUGAAGAUGCAGUGUACCCGCGGCAAGACGGAAAGACCCCGUGAACCUUUACUAUAGCUUGACACUGAACAUUGAGCCUUGAUGUGUAGGAUAGGUGGGAGGCUUUGAAGUGUGGACGCCAGUCUGCAUGGAGCCGACCUUGAAAUACCACCCUUUAAUGUUUGAUGUUCUAACGUUGACCCGUAAUCCGGGUUGCGGACAGUGUCUGGUGGGUAGUUUGACUGGGGCGGUCUCCUCCUAAAGAGUAACGGAGGAGCACGAAGGUUGGCUAAUCCUGGUCGGACAUCAGGAGGUUAGUGCAAUGGCAUAAGCCAGCUUGACUGCGAGCGUGACGGCGCGAGCAGGUGCGAAAGCAGGUCAUAGUGAUCCGGUGGUUCUGAAUGGAAGGGCCAUCGCUCAACGGAUAAAAGGUACUCCGGGGAUAACAGGCUGAUACCGCCCAAGAGUUCAUAUCGACGGCGGUGUUUGGCACCUCGAUGUCGGCUCAUCACAUCCUGGGGCUGAAGUAGGUCCCAAGGGUAUGGCUGUUCGCCAUUUAAAGUGGUACGCGAGCUGGGUUUAGAACGUCGUGAGACAGUUCGGUCCCUAUCUGCCGUGGGCGCUGGAGAACUGAGGGGGGCUGCUCCUAGUACGAGAGGACCGGAGUGGACGCAUCACUGGUGUUCGGGUUGUCAUGCCAAUGGCACUGCCCGGUAGCUAAAUGCGGAAGAGAUAAGUGCUGAAAGCAUCUAAGCACGAAACUUGCCCCGAGAUGAGUUCUCCCUGACUCCUUGAGAGUCCUGAAGGAACGUUGAAGACGACGACGUUGAUAGGCCGGGUGUGUAAGCGCAGCGAUGCGUUGAGCUAACCGGUACUAAUGAACCGUGAGGCUUAACCUUAC
This 2908-nucleotide ribosomal RNA is filed under the name Escherichia coli ECA-727. Its description in RNAcentral is "bacterial LSU rRNA". It matches the Rfam family "Bacterial large subunit ribosomal RNA". Lineage: Bacteria; Pseudomonadati; Pseudomonadota; Gammaproteobacteria; Enterobacterales; Enterobacteriaceae. The record is from RNAcentral.